This is a long non-coding RNA of Oncorhynchus tshawytscha (Chinook salmon), 1149 nucleotides long. Lineage: Eukaryota; Metazoa; Chordata; Actinopteri; Salmoniformes; Salmonidae. The record is from Ensembl.
CCGGUGUCAAUACAUUUAGGAAUGUUUGUAAACAAAUUAAUAAGAAUGGAAUAAGAUUACACAUAAAAUAAGUACAAUGCAAUAUGCAACCCUGUGUGUUUGUGUGUGCGUGUGUGCCCGUGUGUGAAUUAAAGGGACUGUCUAGCUCAGUAGUCUGCAUAUUAGUUGCAGUAGUUGGCGCACCUCUCCUAUCUCUGAUUGUUCUAGGGGUCUUCUGCCAGAGGUUACCUCAGCAUAUGUAGGCUGACGAUCUGACUGAUACAUGGUGUGGACUGCAUCAUGUGGUCUACUUCCCUGAAGGGCAGUGUUCUGACCGACCCUGGAGUAGUGGUCAGAGCUGUUUUGUGAUGGGUCUGGUCUGGUAGAGCUGUGUUGUGAUGGGCCAGGUCUAGUAGAGCUGUGUUGUGAUGGGCUGGGUCUAGUAGAGCUGUGUAGUGAUGGGCCAGGUCUAGUAGAGCUGUGUUGUGAUGGGCCGGGUCUAGUAGAGCUGUGUUGUGAUGGGCCGGGUCUAGUAGAGCUGUGUUGUGAUGGGCCGGGUCUAGUAGAGCUGUGUUGUGAUGGGCCGGGUCUAGUAGAGCUGUGUUGUGAUGGGCCGGGUCUAGUAGAGCUGUGUUGUGAUGGGCCGGGUCUAGUAGAGCUGUGUUGUGAUGGGCCGGGUCUAGUAGAGCUGUGUUGUGAUGGGCCAGGUCUAGUAGAGCUGUGUUGUGAUGGGACGGGUCUAGUUGUGCUGUCCUGAGGCGGAUCUGGUCUGGUAAAUAUGUGCUGUGUUGGGCCUGGUCUAGUAGAGCUGUGCUGUAAUAAGCCAUGUCUGGCUCUUUUCUCUUCGGGAUGGUGGAGGUACUGUUGUUUCAGAAGGUGGGGCGGGGGACCUCUGUAGCUGGGGUGAUGGGUGUGUGGGUCCCUGCCAAGCGUUGCAUCUUUUAGGUCCUUGGCAAAGGUUCUGAUGCUGUCCUGAUCAAGAUGUAUAUUAUCAUAUAAGUGUUGACAUGUCAGAGUGGGGUGGUGAGCCGUUCUGACGUUGAGCAGUGAGGCACAGUCCACAGUGAUCUGUUGAUUUAUUUUGUCGAUCAACUUUCCUGGGAAGUCUUUUCUUGGUAGGAGGGUGGACACAACUAUAUUGGUUGUUGGGAACACAGCCUGUGCCCGUUC